AGCCAUUCCUUCGAGCUCCUCUUGGUUCCUGGGAAAAUACUGGACACGGUCACCGAGCCGAUUGUGAACGCUAAGCCUGCCCCCCAGCCGAUCAUGAACUGACGCCCUUCCUUUGAUCGGCCCAUUAAAUCGCCGUUCAUCAUCAUGAUAACGCCGAUCGGUUCUAUCGUACCGAUCAUAACCGUUGCACUCAGGGCAG
Molecule: long non-coding RNA, 199 nt
Filed under: Sorghum bicolor (sorghum)
Lineage: Eukaryota; Viridiplantae; Streptophyta; Magnoliopsida; Poales; Poaceae
Description: long non-coding RNA (SBIC_LNC005806)
Source: RNAcentral